GACGAACGCUGGCGGCGUGCCUAAUACAUGCAAGUCGAACGCUUCUUUCCUCCCGAGUGCUUGCACUCAAUUGGAAAGAGGAGUGGCGGACGGGUGAGUAACACGUGGGUAACCUACCCAUCAGAGGGGGAUGACACUUGGAAACAGGUGCUAAUACCGCAUAACAGUUUAUGCCGCAUGGCAUAAGAGUGAAAGGCGCUUUCGGGUGUCGCUGAUGGAUGGACCCGCGGUGCAUUAGCUAGUUGGUGAGGUAACGGCUCACCAAGGCCACGAUGCAUAGCCGACCUGAGAGGGUGAUCGGCCACACUGGGACUGAGACACGGCCCAGACUCCUACGGGAGGCAGCAGUAGGGAAUCUUCGGCAAUGGACGAAAGUCUGACCGAGCAACGCCGCGUGAGUGAAGAAGGUUUUCGGAUCGUAAAACUCUGUUGUUAGAGAAGAACAAGGACGUUAGUAACUGAACGUCCCCUGACGGUAUCUAACCAGAAAGCCACGGCUAACUACGU
RNAcentral lists this ribosomal RNA (507 nucleotides) under uncultured bacterium. Its description in RNAcentral is "partial 16S ribosomal RNA". It matches the Rfam family "Bacterial small subunit ribosomal RNA", at positions 28 to 506 of the family's 1533-position model. The record is from RNAcentral.